UACGUAGGGACCAAGCGUUGUUCGGAUUUACUGGGCGUAAAGUGCGCGUAGGCGGCAAAUUAAGUCAGCUGUGAAAUCCCCGGGCUUAACCUGGGAACUGCAUUUGUGACUGCAUCGCUGGAGUGCGGCAGAGGGGGAUGGAAUUCCGCGUGUAGCAGUGAAAUGCGUAGAUAUGCGGAGGAACACCGAUGGCGAAGGCAAUCCCCUGGGCCUGCACUGACGCUCAUGCACGAAAGCGUGGGGAGCAAGCAGG
Molecule: ribosomal RNA, 253 nt
Filed under: uncultured bacterium
Lineage: Bacteria
Description: partial 16S ribosomal RNA
Rfam family: Bacterial small subunit ribosomal RNA
Source: RNAcentral